RNAcentral lists this long non-coding RNA (797 nucleotides) under Marmota monax (woodchuck). Lineage: Eukaryota; Metazoa; Chordata; Mammalia; Rodentia; Sciuridae. The record is from RNAcentral.
CUUCAUCCCCAUUCCACAAAGUAUUUCUCUUCUGGAACCUCUGUGAGAGUUGCAGUUGAUCUGUGCACCUUUUUGCAUGUGUUUGUGUGACUUUUACUCAGACAGCACAUAUUGUCUUCAUUCCCCAUACAUCUGAUAUGCACAUGACAUAGCACAGGCAUUCAGCAAAUAUUUCUUGAGUAAAUAAAUGAAUAGUUAAAUAAACAAAGGGAUGAAUUCCUGUGAUAAUUCUUAAAAGACAAGUAAGAGAGGGGCAGGCAAAGGAAAUAGGACAGAGUUUUCCAGGCAGUGGGUAAAUAUGCACAUACAGAGGGAUGUAAACUUAUUUGAGUAAAUGCAAAUUGUCUGAAAGGUCAUACUGUGCACAGGAGACUGGUAAUGUGGGCAGGGCCAAACCAUGGAGGACCUUGAGAAUCAUGAAGAUGUGAAGAGCAAGAAAGGAUCAUCUGGAUUGGUUAUGUGUUCUACAAGAAUCACUUUGGGAUCAUGAUGGAGAAGAAUGUGAAGCGGGAGACCAGGAGAUCAGGCAGGGUCUUGGGAGGUAUAACAAGGUGGUAGCAUUUGGGGUUGGACAAAAGAGGUCAGAGUCAGGAGAAUUAAUCUUUUGCCCUCAUCACAGCUCAUAUUGAAAUAAAAUGUUCUUUCACAGGACAUGGUUCUGGGCUUGUACUUCACAAAUGCCCUAUCUCCUACAUGUAUCCAGGUCCAGGUUGUUAGUAUUGUGUCUCUAUGGUCCCAAAUAAAAGAAAAAAUGGAAUGGAAGUGCCUCUAGAAUAUGGUGGAAGAUGGGAAAGUUG